RNAcentral lists this ribosomal RNA (253 nucleotides) under uncultured bacterium. RNAcentral describes it as "partial 16S ribosomal RNA". It matches the Rfam family "Bacterial small subunit ribosomal RNA", at positions 524 to 776 of the family's 1533-position model. The record is from RNAcentral.
UACGUAGGGGGCUAGCGUUGUCCGGAUUUAUUGGGCGUAAAGAGCGUGUAGGCGGCCAUGUAGGUCCGGUGUGAAAACUCGAGGCUUAGCCUCGAGAUGUCAUCGGAAACCAUUUGGCUAGAGUCCGGAAGAGGAGAGUGGAAUUCCUGGUGUAGCGGUGAAAUGCGCAGAUAUCAGGAAGAACACCAAUGGCGAAAGCAGCUCUCUGGGACGGUACUGACGCUGAGACGCGAAAGCGUGGGGAGCGAACAGG